GGUAACAGAUACAAAAGUGAGACUGGGUAGGGAGGUAAAAAUAAGGACUAGAAAAAGGAGAAGAUACCAGAUCAAGACACACCACCUUCUCAUCCUGAAACCCUUCAUCACCGGGUGUCACAAAUCAGGUUCAGGAGCCUCUCAGACUUCGAUAUGGUUAUGAAAAUAUGUUUAAAAAACCCUGCAGUGACAAUUACAGACACAAGUAGCACAUCAUCACAGAGUAUAAGGAGAAGGAGGAAGAGGAAGGAGAGAGGAGAAGAAAAGUUACUAAAAAGAAGGCUCUCCUGCAUAGUGGAGGCUGGUCAACAGGUUCCACAACAGUCUAGAUUCCAUGUUUCUCAGGACCAAUCAACUGUUCUUAUUUAGGUUUUAUGUCCUACCAGCAGCACUUUGACAGUUAAUGCUAUUUCUCAGGCACCUCAUCCCUGACACGCUGUGCUCCCUGGCUGGUGAGGAUAAGGAACUAUUGUAAUACUCAUUGGCUUCCGGCAUCAGAUCACCCUGGAUAAGUGGACUAGCCAGGGUAUGGAUUUCCAAUGCUGAAUCAGAGCCAAUCUGGCGGCUCAGAAGACCAUCACAAUGCAGCAGUGCAUGGAGUCCAUUUACAGGCUGACUUCCCUCAUCUUACUGCUGGUUCUUCUCUGCUACCCACCCCACUUUCUUCACUGUAACCAAAUACACAGUUCAUCACGUACUAAAGAGUGGCUUAUGUGAAGUUUCAAGUGAUGGUCUGAUGGAUAGCAUGGUUAUUCACCCAAGUUGUUGACUUUCUCCUCCUGUUGAAGUCUCAAAGGGCAUGCUUCUACCACUGACCCUGAACUAGUGAGGUGUUCUCUGGCCAGAGGUGUGAACUCAAGGAAGCUAUGAAGACAUCAACAGGUGCCUCCUGAAUAACCUCACCUCAGUCCUUCAAGAAAGCCUUCCUCCGCACAAGUUUUUCAAAGUUUAAAAAAUGACCUCAAAUUUGAGGUAAAUAUUUUCAUCAUUGGCAUUUUCUUUCCUUUAACAAAUGACAGAGUAAGCAUAAAGAAAUAGAGAAGAAAAUAAAAAAAAAUUUAAACGACACUUUCUUGUAGUACUUUUUAGUUCACACAGCCUAAGUGGAAUUUUAACAAAAAACUAUUAUGAUCUCAAUCGGCUAAAUAAAAUGUGCCUUUCAACAGGCA
Panthera uncia (snow leopard) is the source of this 1169-nucleotide long non-coding RNA. RefSeq lists it as uncharacterized. The transcript has 3 exons. Lineage: Eukaryota; Metazoa; Chordata; Mammalia; Carnivora; Felidae. The record is from RefSeq and is a predicted model, not a curated record.